UGGAGGAAAGCAGGGGAUCGUAAGACCUUGCGCUUUUGGAGCGGCCGAUGCCUGAUUAGCUAGUUGGUGGGGUAAAGGCUUACCAAGGCAACGAUCAGUAGUUGGUCUGAGAGGACGGCCAGCCACACUGGGACUGAGACACGGCCCAGACUCCUACGGGAGGCAGCAGUGGGGAAUUUUGGACAAUGGGCGCAAGCCUGAUCCAGCAAUGCCGCGUGAGUGGAGAAGGCCUUCGGGUUGUAAAGCUCUUUCAGUCGAGAAGAAAAGAUUGUGACGAAUAAUCACAAUUCAUGACGGUAUCGACAGAAGAAGCACCGGCUAACUACGUGCCAGCAGCCGCGGUAAUACGUAGGGUGCGAGCGUUAAUCGGAAUUACUGGGCGUAAAGGGUGCGCAGGCGGCUUUGUAAGUCAGAUGUGA
Molecule: ribosomal RNA, 419 nt
Filed under: uncultured ammonia-oxidizing beta proteobacterium
Lineage: Bacteria; Pseudomonadati; Pseudomonadota; Betaproteobacteria
Description: bacterial SSU rRNA
Rfam family: Bacterial small subunit ribosomal RNA
Source: RNAcentral